RNAcentral lists this unclassified non-coding RNA (328 nucleotides) under soil metagenome. RNAcentral's name for it is "partial contains 5.8S ribosomal RNA, internal transcribed spacer 2, and large subunit ribosomal RNA". The stretch from base 1 to 120 matches the Rfam family "5.8S ribosomal RNA", at positions 35 to 154 of the family's 154-position model. The record is from RNAcentral.
GAUGAAGAACGUAGCGAAAUGCGAUAAGUAAUGUGAAUUGCAGAAUUCAGUGAAUCAUCGAAUCUUUGAACGCACAUUGCGCCCCUUGGUAUUCCGAGGGGCAUGCCUGUUCGAGCGUCAUUAUCACCCCUCAAGCUUUGCUUGGUGUUGGGGCCUGCUGUAAUAGGCAGCCCUUAAAAUCAGUGGCGGUGCUUCAAGGCUCUAAGCGUAGUAAUUCUCCUCGCUAUAGUGUCUAGUGGUUGCCAGCCAGAACCCCCCAAUUUUCAUGAUUGACCUCGGAUCAGGUAGGGAUACCCGCUGAACUUAAGCAUAUCCAAUAAGCGGAGGA